This is a long non-coding RNA of Corvus hawaiiensis (hawaiian crow), 1719 nucleotides long. RefSeq lists it as uncharacterized. Lineage: Eukaryota; Metazoa; Chordata; Aves; Passeriformes; Corvidae. The record is from RefSeq and is a predicted model, not a curated record. The transcript is spliced from 2 exons.
CUGUCCCUAAAAGAGUUUUAGUUAUGAUGCCUUGGCGAUUUGUUAUUUUCUGCAAAUUUUUUUAUAUCCCAACCUAUCAUAGAUGCAGCACUAGUAAAAAGCAAGCAAUGCAGAAGCAUUUGGUGGAUGAUCUGGAGGCCAUCCUUCUGAAAGAAAUGUAGAAGAAUAGUUUGAGAUGCCUAAGUGUAUUCUUCAGUUUCUAGAAGGAUUUACUUAGACCUCAUGGAGAAAGAAAAUCUGCUUAAUAUGAAAGAAUUGUGGGAAAAACAUGACAAAAUAAAGUAAGCCUCAAUUUUUAGCAGUAUAUAUGUGGGAGGGAAGCACAAAAUACUCAAAAAUCUUGGCCUCCCACAUUCUGUAGAGGAGAAAUAUGGGGGUAAUAUUUGCCAAAAAGAGAUCUGGUUUUGGUUAAAGAAAUCUUAGACCUAAUGUGGAUUCUAGGGAUUAUCCAACAGAAGUAGCAUAAAGUGCAUCAGCUUUGAGUAUUAAUUGAAUUGUAUGUUUUCUCAGUAUCACUGAAAUGUGUAGUUCAAGAGAUUCUUUGGACUUCUCUUAGGUAGUUAAACUCAGGCUUCUGAAGUUAAACUUCUGAAAUUUUGGGGAAAAAACCCCCAAAGAAUUAUCUGGUUAUUUCACUUUCUUGUGAAGCCUAAAUUUUAUUUACUUCUUAAAAAUGUGUUACAUGAAAUAGCACAUGAGAAAUACUACUAAACACAUUCAUGAAAAAACCCAAAUCAUUACUCUGGGAAAAAUAUAAGAUGUAGAAUUGUGCUGCAGACUAGAUUCUCCUCAGAUUACUUUUACUGUCCUAAAAUGAGUGUUCAGUCAUCUUCUCUCAAUGAUUGAUGUUGAUUAACUACAGAGGAACCAAAACCAACCAGCUCGGACUGUAUACCUAACUUCAUGUCUGAUUUAGGGGAGACAAAUCUGCUCUGAGGUACUGUUCAUUUACUGUGCUGACUCCGUCUUUGGAGAUACUCUGGAGCUGUCUCUAGACAUGGUGCUGGGCAGCCUGCUCUAGGUCACCUUGUUUGAGCAGAAGGAUUGGAUGAGAUGACCUCCAGAGGUUCUUCUGAAUCUCAGCUGUUGUCUGAUUCUGUGACACCCAUUAAAAAAAAAAGACAUCGUAAGUAGAAAGUAGCAAUAUGUUAAUUUGUAAAGAGAAAGGUGACCUAAUAAAAUGAAUAAUGUGAUGUAGUUUUCCUACAAAUUUCUUUAGGCAGUACUAUUUCUGGCUUUCUCUGCUAAGCAAUCUUUGUGCUGUUGUUAUGCUUUUGAUUACUGGAAGUGGGGAUCCUCAGGAACUAACUGAAUAUAGGUCUGCUUAAAUUAGUCGGGUAAUGAAAAGGAAGGAAACUUAUGUGGCUGUCAGUGGUGACUGAUGCUUACCUUUAACUCAGUGAGCACCUCAUUCUGUUGAGGUUGCUCCUACCCUGAAAGGCAGUACUUUAGAGGAUGAGGUGUGUUUAAGGUACUUUCUUAGCUUGUUUCCCUUUCCUUUUUUAGGAAGAGAUGCCUUAUGAGGAAGCUUUCUGCAGGGCUCUUGCUAUUAUAGCGUUGUGCCUGCCUAAGUCCAAUGGGCCUGCUGAUGUUCUUGAUGUGGCUGUAUAACUAACUUCCCCAUAUUUGAUCUGCACCUCACGUCAUUUGAAGAAAUGGGAUGCCAAUACUUUUCUUUGUACAAAGGAAAAAUAAGAAAUAUAAAAUAACUGAAGUGGA